This 440-nucleotide ribosomal RNA is filed under the name uncultured bacterium. RNAcentral's name for it is "partial 16S ribosomal RNA". It matches the Rfam family "Bacterial small subunit ribosomal RNA", at positions 338 to 795 of the family's 1533-position model. The record is from RNAcentral.
CCUACGGGUGGCAGCAGUGGGGAAUAUUGCACAAUGGGGGAAACCCUGAUGCAGCGACGCCGCGUGAGUGAAGAAGUAUUUCGGUAUGUAAAGCUCUAUCAGCAGGGAAGAAAAUGACGGUACCUGAUUAAGAAGCCCCGGCUAACUACGUGCCAGCAGCCGCGGUAAUACGUAGGGGGCAGGCGUUAUCCGGAUUUACUGGGUGUAAAGGGGGCGUAGACGGCAUCACAAGUCUGGAGUGAAAUGCCGGGGCUUAACCCCGGAACUGCUUUGGAAACUGUGCAGCUAGAGUGCGGGCGAGGUAAGGGGAAUUCGUGGUGUAGCGGUGAAAUGCGUAGAUAUUAGGAGGAACACCAGUGGCGAAGGCGGCUUACUGGACUGUAACUGACGUUGAGGCUCGAAAGCGUGGGGAGCAAACAGGAUUAGAUACCCGUGUAGUC